UAAGUGCCGUCGGCAUUCGUUUGUCAAAAAGCGCAAGUGUUGAGAAAUUUCCAAGAAAAUUAAAGGGAAAUGAACGAAUACACAUUUCUUUCUCGAUUGCGUCGGCCGUUGGUAGCAUUUUGUAAUUUGUUUAUCGUUUGUGGAGUGGCAGUGGCAGUGGAGUGGCACUGGAAACAAAGACCGGCCAUUGUAUUCGGAUGAGGAUACCAACCCUUAAGGGUUGCCACAGCCACAGCCCAGCCGCCAGCGAAAGAUGACGCCGAUCUCAAGAAGUCAAGCGUGACGACCAGGCUAAAUACAGAACACAAAACACAGAAGCAGCAGCAGCAGCGCGCGGCUACCGAAUGCGUUUUGAAUUUCCGCUGGGAGCCGUAAGGACAACGGAACGGAGACGAAAAUCCAUGGACAAAUAUUGACCGGACUAGGGCCCAGGGCCAAAGGCUGUUCGAGGCAUCUCCAUUUCGUUUCAGAGUUUAUGAUUUUUUAAGCUGUUUGCCAGAUCUCUUCACAUUUUUGUAGCUGUUUGCCUUUCAUUAACAGAAGCUGCUGCUGCUGCUACUCAGCCUCGACUCGAGAUCGGAUUGGAUCGGAUCGGAUCAGGCAACGACUUUGAGGGGCAUGAGUGUUUGCCUUGAUUAAGUCGCUGACUAGUGGAAAGCCGAGAAGCCGGGAGGGGAGCCGGAAAGCCUGAAAGAGUCCUCAUUAGAAAUAAAGUAGUUUGCUGCUGCUCCUGGUCGCUGCUGCUGCUGUUCUAAAUGAUCAGCGGCUUAACUUGAAAUUAAAUAAACAAAAUAUCUUUUAGCGUUCGAAGGU
Drosophila obscura is the source of this 813-nucleotide long non-coding RNA. RefSeq lists it as uncharacterized. The record is from RefSeq and is a predicted model, not a curated record. Lineage: Eukaryota; Metazoa; Arthropoda; Insecta; Diptera; Drosophilidae. The transcript has 3 exons.